GCGAGGUUUCCCAGGAUCCCGACAGGAAGGGCAAAACUGAAGAGAACCAGCAGGACGUAGCAGUACCACUUGCUCUCGAACUGGCUGCAGAAUACUGUGGACUGGUUCAGGAACUCCAGGAACACCUCUGGGAUCAGCUGUCUCCAUGGUCUCAGAGCAUCACCCGCGUGUCCAGGAAAUGAAUGUCUACAGCCAACAAUGAAAUCCAGGGGGCCGUUCGUCUAUUGCCUCCACUAUGUCAGCCUCUGUUUGCUUUUAAUCCGACACAAUUCACUCAUUUUGUCCAGCCAUGUCAGACUUGUUGAUGUUGGAGAGCGGAAUCAUGAUGAAUGGAGACGGCGAUCACAUCCCAGGUCGCCUUCCUCUCCUCCUCCACCAGCUGCGUGCUUC
This is a long non-coding RNA of Acanthopagrus latus (yellowfin seabream), 390 nucleotides long. RefSeq lists it as uncharacterized. NCBI's taxonomy places the organism in Eukaryota, Metazoa, Chordata, Actinopteri, Spariformes, Sparidae. The transcript has 3 exons. The record is from RefSeq and is a predicted model, not a curated record.